This 1449-nucleotide long non-coding RNA is filed under the name Cottoperca gobio. RNAcentral describes it as "lncRNA (ENSCGOG00000006283.1)". The record is from RNAcentral. Lineage: Eukaryota; Metazoa; Chordata; Actinopteri; Perciformes; Bovichtidae.
UGAAGGUCAAUAUAAAACCUUAUAUCUCUCCUCCAUGGACCAGAUCUUCCCUGAGGCCAACACGAAUGAAGAUUCAGAUUCCAGCUCCUAUCCUGAUGGCUUUCUUUACCAGAGGAAACGUCUUCCUUCUAUAGUUGUGGAGCCCACAGAGCACACGCAGCCGGAGAGCGGGGGGCGCUGGCCUCUGAGUAACAAUGCAGAGGAAGAGGAGGAGGAAAGCGGUGCUGAUCACACAGAUGGCUCUGUGGAUGGAGAGCAGCAGGGGGACAUAGGGAUAGAAGAAGGCUCUGUUGUCAGGAAGUCUUCUAUUGGACCGUCCCAGAGUCAACUGGCCCUCUCCCGGCUGACCCCCCCUACCUCUCCCACCCCCCCAGAGGCUGCCCCACCAUGCCUGAGGAGCUGAACCAGUACAACCAGUACGGACCGAUAGUACUGCAGUUCCCCUGAACUGUGUGUAACUCCUAUAAUGUGUAACCUCUGCAUGUCUGACUUUCCCAAUAAAAGAGAAGCCCUGUGGAAAGGUUGCGAUGCCCACACAAGUAAAACUAUUUGAGAUAAAUAAGGCCCAAUUCUAAAAACAAACACUAAACUGAUUCCAGUACUGCUAUUUUUGGAGAGAUACCUCUAGAUUAAAUUAAUCUGUGGUUAACUGCUACAGUUUGCUGGUACUGUAUCUGACUUUGUUGACUAGUAACAACCUCCAUGACACAGAAAAUAAGCAUGUGAUGAAUACUUUCAGCUAAAUAUGAGCAUGAAAGUCCAGCCCAGGAACUUUAGGAAGAAAAAGGUCAAGUUUCAAGUGUAAGAAAACAACUCUGACUCAUCCAUGUUUGAACUAAGGUCUGACCAGUAUGGUUUAUGAGGUCUUGAUAAACCAUAUUGUGUACCAGCAUUGAAUAAUAAUCCAAAUCCUUUGGGUUAGGGUGUAAACGCCUCUUUAAUGGAAUUCAGACAAUAUUGGAAUACUACAACUCUAAAUUCAAACUAACCCUAAUGAUUAAAAACAUGUAUUGCAACAGUAACCUUAUUCUUGGAUACAUGUGUGCAGUCCCUUCAAAAUAUAAAAAUCCAGACAGGGAAGUCUCAUUGUCAACCUGAUCACUUGUAUAACUUACUAACAUACUGUACAUAAACAGUUAUAGUGAUUAGUGGAUAUCCACUUUUUACUGAAAUGCUGCUAGCUAUAUCAACAACUUUAUAGAUCCACCCCUAUUUAAAAAAAGUGAAAAUAAUAGUUGUAUGUUUGUUGUUCAAAACCAAAGUUGUUUGGUGUGCUGCUUUCCACCCAAAAUAUAUUUAGAAAUCCUGAAGUUCCAGAGUUAUUGCAAAACAUAUAGUGAUAGCUCUACAGUAGGUCUUCAUGCACCUUUCCUUUAUGUUUCCUUUUCCGUAGAACCAGGUCAGUCUGGGUUGCUAUUGUACAACAAUAAAUUUGCAUUUAUUUCCACA